GGGGCUGUAGCUCAGCAGGAUAGAGCAACCGCCUCCUAAGCGGUAGGUCGCGCGUUCGAAUCGCGCCAGCCCUG
Molecule: transfer RNA, 74 nt
Filed under: filamentous cyanobacterium CCP5
Lineage: Bacteria; Bacillati; Cyanobacteriota
Also listed under: 1 other name
Rfam family: tRNA
About the family: Transfer RNA (tRNA) molecules are approximately 80 nucleotides in length. Their secondary structure includes four short double-helical elements and three loops (D, anti-codon, and T loops).
Source: Rfam by way of RNAcentral